UCGAACGCGAAAAUCCCGCAAGGGAUCAGUAGAGUGGCAAACGGGUGAGUAACGCGUGGGCGACCUACCUUCGAGUGGGGGAUAACCUUCCGAAAGGAGGGCUAAUACCGCAUGACAUCCUGCUUUUGGAUAAGUGGAGAUCAAAGCUGGGGAUCGCAAGACCUGGCGCUUGGAGAGGGGCCCGCGUCCGAUUAGCUAGUUGGUGAGGUAACGGCUCACCAAGGCUCCGAUCGGUAUCCGGCCUGAGAGGGCGGACGGACACACUGGGACUGAGACACGGCCCAGACUCCUACGGGAGGCAGCAGUGGGGAAUUGUUCGCAAUGGGCGCAAGCCUGACGACGCAACGCCGCGUGGAGGAUGAAGACCUUCGGGUCGUAAACUCCUUUCGACCAAAAUGAACACCUUUAGAUUUAAAAGAUCGAGAGGCUGACAGUAUUGGGAGAAGAAGCCCCGGCUAACUCCGUGCCAGCAGCCGCGGUAAUACGGGGGGGGCAAGCGUUGUUCGGAAUUACUGGGCGUAAAGGGUUCGUAGGUGGCCAACUAAGUCAGACGUGAAAUCCCUCAGCUUAACUGGGGAACUGCGUCUGAUACUGGUUGGCUUGAGUGCAGGAGAGGAAUGCGGAAUUCCAGGUGUAGCGGUGAAAUGCGUAGAUAUCUGGAGGAACACCGGUGGCGAAGGCGGCAUUCUGGACUGCAACUGACACUGAUGAACGAAAGCCAGGGGAGCAAACGGGAUUAGAUACCCCGGUAGUCCUGGCC
RNAcentral lists this ribosomal RNA (760 nucleotides) under uncultured bacterium. RNAcentral's name for it is "bacterial SSU rRNA". It matches the Rfam family "Bacterial small subunit ribosomal RNA", at positions 62 to 801 of the family's 1533-position model. The record is from RNAcentral.